CGUUUGUAAAAGGUAAAUACAAGAUGGAUAAUCGCCCUAUUAACUUACAUUGCAGCUUGUUUCACCGCUGUCGACUGCAGCGAUCACGCUUAAAACUGGACCAAUGUCAAAGAUUGAUUGGUACUUCUAGG
Molecule: long non-coding RNA, 131 nt
Organism: Etheostoma spectabile (orangethroat darter)
Lineage: Eukaryota; Metazoa; Chordata; Actinopteri; Perciformes; Percidae
Exons: 3
Source: RefSeq, a predicted model, not a curated record